ACGUUUAGCUGUCUUGAUUUUUUCAAGAACUUACUGCUCACAAAAUGUAUCUCCUUUCUCAAGCAUUCAUUAGUAGGCCAGUCUAUUGUUCUGAAGGUCAGCCAAUUUCAGAAGGCAUACCUUCGAUCAUCAAUGUUCGACUUAACUAUACAGAGGGGCAUUGAUAGUGAAGGCCAAAGCCUGAUUGCUUAAUUUUUGUAUUCAAAUUUUACAUAUGUGCAAGUUAUUUCUUUGAUAAUAUAACAAACUCGAAAUAUGAAUUAAAUUUUUUUGCUUCUUAAACUAUAUGAUCUGCUUUUUGGUAAGUUGAAAUGAGAUGGUACAUAUUAUGCACUAUGUAUCUUUACUCUCUACUAUGAAAUCAUUUCAUUGGAGAACUUCUAUUUCAAUUAGAUUGCAAGCUAAUGCUCGUAUAUAUUCAUUCAACAACAGCUACUUGAUUAACAUGUUUGGCUUCAAACAUCUUCUCGUAUUCCUUGAUCGAUCUAAACAGCUCAGAUAAGUUUCCCUUACCGAAGCCUCCACAACCGCCCUUCUGAUAGACUUGUCCUUUUUCAUCUUUGAGCAUGCACCCGAUUCUCUGAAUUAUUUCUAUAAAUAUUGUUGGCCUGCACAAAAAU
This is a long non-coding RNA of Solanum lycopersicum (tomato), 620 nucleotides long. RefSeq lists it as uncharacterized. The record is from RefSeq and is a predicted model, not a curated record. NCBI's taxonomy places the organism in Eukaryota, Viridiplantae, Streptophyta, Magnoliopsida, Solanales, Solanaceae.